RNAcentral lists this ribosomal RNA (253 nucleotides) under uncultured bacterium. RNAcentral's name for it is "partial 16S ribosomal RNA". It matches the Rfam family "Bacterial small subunit ribosomal RNA", at positions 524 to 776 of the family's 1533-position model. The record is from RNAcentral.
UACGUAGGCAGCAAGCGUUGUUCGGAGUUACUGGGCGUAAAGGGUGUGUAGGCGGCCUGUUAAGUUCCGUGUGAAAUCUCCCGGCUCAACCGGGAGGGUGCGCGGAAAACUGGCGGGCUAGAGUCCGGAAGAGGAGAAUGGAAUUCCCGGUGUAGCGGUGAAAUGCGCAGAUAUCGGGAAGAACACCCGUGGCGAAGGCGGUUCUCUGGGACGGUACUGACGCUGAGACGCGAAAGCGUGGGGAGCGAACAGG